AAAAAAGUGGUGGCUUAAAAAGUAGUGACAAAAAUGAACCUUCUCCUGGAGAAGCUAUCCUUCCACAGAAAACCAAUCCAAAUGUGGAAGUCACUCUUGAUGGGCCAGCUGACCCACAGGCAGAUGUUCCCAGGAGUUCUGUUCUGUGCUAAAAUGGGCUUGUGGUUAAGUGAAAGAGAACUCUACCUAAGAAGUUCAUUGUGUUCUAAGUGGAAGGAGAGUUACUGAAGGGAAUGUGAAUUUUUACUGUUUGUACUUCAGAUACAUUUGUUGUCUAAAAUGGCUCUGGAUAACAUUUUUGGGUUAAAAAAUGUAAUUUAAAGCCACCAUAGAAAGUAUUUUCUGAUUUACUGUCCAAAUGAACUUUGUUGUUAAUUGAGAAGUCAAUAAAAUGGAUUAAACUGACAGAAAAAAACAUA
This 419-nucleotide small RNA is filed under the name Pongo abelii (Sumatran orangutan). RNAcentral's name for it is "processed transcript". The record is from RNAcentral. Lineage: Eukaryota; Metazoa; Chordata; Mammalia; Primates; Hominidae.